RNAcentral lists this ribosomal RNA (278 nucleotides) under uncultured Desulfomicrobium sp. RNAcentral describes it as "partial 16S ribosomal RNA". It matches the Rfam family "Bacterial small subunit ribosomal RNA", at positions 1106 to 1382 of the family's 1533-position model. The record is from RNAcentral. Lineage: Bacteria; Pseudomonadati; Thermodesulfobacteriota; Desulfovibrionia; Desulfovibrionales; Desulfomicrobiaceae.
UAUUCUCAGUUGCCAGCACAUAAUGGUGGGGCACUCUGUGGAGACUGCCCGGGUUAACCGGGAGGAAGGUGGGGAUGACGUCAAGUCAUCAUGGCCCUUACGCCUAGGGCUACACACGUACUACAAUGGUGGGUACAAAGGGCGGCGAAACCGCGAGGUCGAGCGAAUCUCAAAAAACCCAUCAUAGUCCGGAUUGCAGUCUGCAACUCGACUGCAUGAAGUUGGAAUCGCUAGUAAUCCCGGAUCAGCAUGCCGGGGUGAAUACGUUCCCGGGCCUU